GGGCGUGUGGCGCAACGGAUAACGCGUUUGACUACAUAUCAGAAGAUUCCAGGUUCAAAUCCUGGCACGCUUC
Molecule: transfer RNA, 73 nt
Filed under: Saccoglossus kowalevskii
Lineage: Eukaryota; Metazoa; Hemichordata; Enteropneusta; Harrimaniidae
Description: tRNA-Cys
Rfam family: tRNA
About the family: Transfer RNA (tRNA) molecules are approximately 80 nucleotides in length. Their secondary structure includes four short double-helical elements and three loops (D, anti-codon, and T loops). Further hydrogen bonds mediate the characteristic L-shaped molecular structure. tRNAs have two regions of fundamental functional importance: the anti-codon, which is responsible for specific mRNA codon recognition, and the 3' end, to which the tRNAs corresponding amino acid is attached (by aminoacyl-tRNA synthetases). tRNAs cope with the degeneracy of the genetic code in two manners: having more than one tRNA (with a specific anti-codon) for a particular amino acid; and 'wobble' base-pairing, i.e. permitting non-standard base-pairing at the 3rd anti-codon position.
Source: RNAcentral